UGAUGACAUUCUCCGGAAUCGCUGUACUGCCGUGAUGAAAGUACACUUGAACCCUUUUCCAUCUGACGGCUGAGCGUUUGUU
This is a small nucleolar RNA of Ictidomys tridecemlineatus (thirteen-lined ground squirrel), 82 nucleotides long. Ensembl annotates it as small nucleolar RNA, C/D box 68. The record is from Ensembl. NCBI's taxonomy places the organism in Eukaryota, Metazoa, Chordata, Mammalia, Rodentia, Sciuridae.